CUACGGGUCGCUCCAGUGGGGAAUAUUGGACAAUGGGGGCAACCCUGAUCCAGCCAUGCCGCGUGUGUGAAGAAGGCCUUAGGGUUGUAAAGCACUUUCAGAUGUGAGGAAAGGUGUGUGCUUAAUACGUACAUGCUGUGACGUUAGCAUCAGAAGAAGGACCGGCUAACUCCGUGCCAGCAGCCGCGGUAAUACGGAGGGUCCGAGCGUUAAUCGGAAUUGCUGGGCGUAAAGCGCGCGUAGGUGGUUUCGUCAGUCAGAUGUGAAAGCCCCGGGCUCAACCUGGGAAUUGCACCUGAUACUGCGGAACUAGAGUACGAUAGAGGGGAGUGGAAUUUCCGGUGUAGCGGUGAAAUGCGUAGAGAUCGGAAGGAACACCAGUGGCGAAGGCGACUCCCUGGAUUGAUACUGACACUGAGGUGCGAAAGCGUGGGGAGCAAACAGGAUUAGAUACCCUCGUAGUC
RNAcentral lists this ribosomal RNA (464 nucleotides) under uncultured bacterium. RNAcentral's name for it is "partial 16S ribosomal RNA". It matches the Rfam family "Bacterial small subunit ribosomal RNA", at positions 339 to 795 of the family's 1533-position model. The record is from RNAcentral.